UUGGAUGGAGUAGCACAGUCGUCG
RNAcentral lists this non-coding RNA (24 nucleotides) under Drosophila melanogaster (fruit fly). The record is from RNAcentral. Lineage: Eukaryota; Metazoa; Arthropoda; Insecta; Diptera; Drosophilidae.